ACCAAGAUGUCUGAGGGCGAGCGGCCAUUCGAAAACGCACAGGACGACGGCGAUGAUGACGGAGAUGAUGUGCUUAGCAUGGAGGAGGAGCUGUGCUUAAGACUUGACACUAUGAGGGACUUUUUCCUCCAGCAGCUGAAGGCCAUAAGAUACUCGCUGUUUUCAUCUCAGACCAAGGUGCACAAGGAUUUAAAAGCCUUCAAGGAGUCCAUCUUGACGGAGGAGCUGAAUUUCUACAGAGAGAGGCUAGAGGCAAAGGUAACAUCUGACUUCCAGCUGCUGGAGGAAAACUGCAAUUCUGCUAAACGUGAUGUUGUUGAAAUGGUGAAGGCCGUUGGGGAAUCUGUGACCAAGAGGAUGGACGCGGUGGACAGGAUACUCUACACGCUGGCUUCGAGGAUCACUGCAAUGGAAGCGGAGGUCCACAACACGGUGCCUUCUUUUCAAGCGAGCACGCCGCCACGCCGUGCUCAUGGCCUUUUGAGCAGAGCUGAAGCACUUUCCUCCACCCAGGUGACAGAUGUGGGACAAGACACGGAGAUCUUCCUGGACCUUCAGAGUGUGGCUUCUUCAUCUCCGAUCAGCCCUGGUCAGCGUGCGGUGUUGACCACAGCAACGUCCUUUGAAUCCAGCUCUGACCAGAACCCAGAACGUGAUGAAGCACUUUCCUCCACCCAGGUUUUGGAUGUGGGACGCGACAUGGAGAUCUCCCUGGACCUUCAGAGCGCGGCCUCUCCGUCUCAGAUCGGCCCGAGUCAGCUUGCGGUGUUGACCACAACAACGUCCUUUGAAUCCAGCUCUGACCAGAACCCAGAACGUGAUGAAGCACUUUCCUCCACCCAGGUUUUGGAUGUGGGACGCGACAUGGAGAUCUCCCUGGACCUUCAGAGUUUACCUCUCACCCAGACCGGUUCCUCGGGACUUCAGAGACAGCCCCCCGCUAUGCACAAGCGCAAGCUGUCCCAGUCUCCAGACGAUCUGGAACCUGAACUUUCUGCCAAAAUAAGGCCCUACAUGAGACUGAGGCACACACGACAAGAGAAACUUACAGGACUCCAGGCUGCAUUCUUCAAUCUCCAAAUGGACAGGCUGAACAUUAAUGACACCAAGAGCCUCGCAGACAAGGCAGAAGUCAUAAAAGGAGCUGGUGAGAGACACGGAGUCUGGCUGGAACCCUCGGGGAUCAAGGAUCUUCAGCCGUACAUCGGAGAGAGAAUCAAGACCACUUUGAAGAGAAGGAAACGAAUUGCGCAGGUUGUCGAUCAGGAAAAAAAAAAAUUAAACCAAAGUUGCUAGUGUUCGAGCGUCAAAAACGUAACACCCUGACACUUUAGUACACUCCAUUUUGCACACUAGUUAAUUGUUCGUUGUUCUUAAAAUGCAUAUAUUUGACUGAAGUUUUUAUACAUGAGUAAUUACUCCAUUUUGCACACUAGUUAAUUGUUUGUCAUUGAACAACUGCAAUUCGAAACAUAAAAUUAUUUGUAUACGAGUUCUUGUUUGCUUUUGUCAUUAGUCAUUAUUUUACCCUGUUUGAUUUUAAGAAUUUAUUUCUGAGACAAGAUAGGGAUGAAAUGGGAUCAAAGUUGGAUGUGUAAACAGUGUGAAUACUUUGAAUGUUUUUGUUCUUUGUGUGUUUAAACAUUGCUACAAUCUACAAUCCCAAUAUAGAUUCAUCUCUGUCUGUAUUGUGGUAGCAUAAUGGUCCUGCACAAAGCAGCACAACUACAUCCAGCACCACGGAGAGCGCCAUACAUCACAGCCAGUGAUGAUCAGGACCAGGGAUAGCUCCUCUUACACAGGUGUGCACGUUUCUCCUCUGACAGUGAGCCUCAGCUUCCGGCCUUUUAAGUCAAAUUAGCAGCCACAUAAAGGUUCCAGAAAUCAUACAGGAUCAUUUAGUUAUGGGGGUGCAAAUUUGACCUUUGACAUCUGAACACAUACACUUGGUCUGGCUGCUUUCAAAGGCCAAGGGUGCGUCUCAAUCAGCCCCAUGGUUCAGUAGUCAGGACACUGAUCAGGGAGUCAGCUCAUUGACUGAAGGUAUGUUGUGUGACUUUAAAAAGACCUCAACGUUUUCAAAAUGAUGCGGUGUAGCCAUAGCUCAGAGUUCAUCUAGGUUUUUGUUUUUUGAUUUAGUCAUAUCAAAAAUACCUAUGAAUGAACUAAUGUAAUCACAUGAGUUUUACUGGUUUAUUGGAAAG
This is a long non-coding RNA of Cyprinus carpio (common carp), 2204 nucleotides long. The record is from Ensembl. Lineage: Eukaryota; Metazoa; Chordata; Actinopteri; Cypriniformes; Cyprinidae.